GAGGCUGUAGCUCAGUGGUAAAGUGCUUGCCUCCUAUGUGUGAGGCACUGAGUUCAAUCCUCAGCACCACA
RNAcentral lists this transfer RNA (71 nucleotides) under Marmota monax (woodchuck). Its description in RNAcentral is "tRNA.Arg". Lineage: Eukaryota; Metazoa; Chordata; Mammalia; Rodentia; Sciuridae. The record is from RNAcentral.